GUUUCUGGCCCUGCCAGUGUCUCCGCCGGUUGAAAGCGCGUGUCUGCGUCGGGUUCUGUUGGAGUGCGUUCGGUGCGCCGUGGGUCCGCGCUGCUUCCACCCAACUUCCUGUUAGGUUACAUUAGUUAUAAUAUACACUCUGGAGGUGACUUGACUUGUCAUUGUGAACAACUAUUGCUCU
RNAcentral lists this long non-coding RNA (181 nucleotides) under Pan troglodytes (chimpanzee). RNAcentral describes it as "lincRNA". Lineage: Eukaryota; Metazoa; Chordata; Mammalia; Primates; Hominidae. The record is from RNAcentral.